ACUAAAAUAGAUUUAACAGUGCAACUGUCAAUAUCUUUUUUCUUUUCUCUAAAAUAAACCAGCAUAUAUAUUGUUCCUAGUUCAACAAAAUGUCCUCCCUACAACUACAACUACAUCUCAAUUCCAAACAAGUAACGUGUUGUCUCUGACAUAAUGAUCUCUAAUUAACAAAUUUUUAUGAGAAAAAUCUAAAUCAUAUUUCAAACUUCUAGUAAGAUAAUCAAACAACACUUUAGAAAUCUCGGAAACUCAUUUUUGGGUCUUGUUGUUUGUUGCUGCCCCGUCCUCUUCCGCGAUAACCUCCUCUUCCUCUUCCUCUACCUCUUCCUCUCCUGCCAUGCCUAGAAAACGAUCUUCCAUGUUUCAUUUCCACAAGUGAAUGCAGCAGCUCGUCGCAAAGAAUACAACCCUUAUGGAGUGUAGCUCCAUCUUUCAAGGGCGUUGUUUUCUUGUUGAAAUCGACUUCUAUGAUAGUGGAAUCACAUUCAGGACACUUCUCUUGAGUUGUAGAAAUCCGA
Molecule: unclassified non-coding RNA, 518 nt
Filed under: Hevea brasiliensis (rubber tree)
Lineage: Eukaryota; Viridiplantae; Streptophyta; Magnoliopsida; Malpighiales; Euphorbiaceae
Source: RNAcentral